CACACCAAGGUCUUUGACUAUCAGCUAGAACUUCUCAAGAGCAAUCCUGGUAGUACCAUACUUGUUGGUUUGGACCCUACAUAUAUGGACCAAAACAUCUUUCAAAGGUUCUAUGUGUGUUUCAGUGCUAUGAAAAAAGGUUUUAAAGCAUGUAGAAGGGUUAUUGGGCUUGAUGGUUGUUUCUUCAAAGGGGCGUGUCAAGGUGAACUACUUUGUGCAAUUGGAAGAGAUGCUAACAACCAAAUAUACCCAGUAGCUUGGGCAAUAGUGGAGCAAGAAACAACUCAAAGCUGGGAGUAG
RNAcentral lists this ribosomal RNA (300 nucleotides) under Triticum aestivum (bread wheat). RNAcentral describes it as "partial small subunit ribosomal RNA". The record is from RNAcentral. Lineage: Eukaryota; Viridiplantae; Streptophyta; Magnoliopsida; Poales; Poaceae.